GAAAUGCGAUAAGUAAUGUGAAUUGCAGAAUUCAGUGAAUCAUCGAAUCUUUGAACACACCUUGCGCUCCUUGGUAUUCCUUGGAGCAUGCCUGUUUGAGUAUCAUGAAAUCUUCAAAGUAAAUCUUUUGUUAACUCAAUUGGUUUCUACUUUGGUAUUGGAGGUCUUUGCAGCUUCACACCUGCUCCUCUUUGUUCAUUAGCUGGAUCUCAGUGUUAUGCUUGGUUCCACACGGCGUGAUAAGUUAUCUAUCGCUGAGGACACUGUAAAAGGUGGCCAAGGUAAAUGCAGAUGAACCGCUUCUAAUAGUCCAUUGACUUGGACAAUACUUUUAUGAUCUGAUCUCAAAUCAGGUAGGACUACCCGCUGAACUUAAGC
Molecule: unclassified non-coding RNA, 378 nt
Filed under: plant metagenome
Description: partial contains 5.8S ribosomal RNA, internal transcribed spacer 2, and large subunit ribosomal RNA
Rfam family: 5.8S ribosomal RNA (bases 1-105)
Source: RNAcentral